This 22-nucleotide non-coding RNA is filed under the name Arabidopsis thaliana (thale cress). Lineage: Eukaryota; Viridiplantae; Streptophyta; Magnoliopsida; Brassicales; Brassicaceae. The record is from RNAcentral.
ACGGCGUGAUCAAGAGUGUCGG